Parus major (Great Tit) is the source of this 3912-nucleotide long non-coding RNA. RefSeq lists it as uncharacterized. NCBI's taxonomy places the organism in Eukaryota, Metazoa, Chordata, Aves, Passeriformes, Paridae. The transcript is spliced from 3 exons. The record is from RefSeq and is a predicted model, not a curated record.
UGCAGUGCAUUUUAAAAAUUGUUCUUUAUUUCUGUGUCUUAGGGUACUUAAGAAGAUCUCCAGUCUACAGAAAAAGUAAUGGAAGUGCUAAUGGGAGUUGAGGUGUUUAGGGAUCAGUAUCAGCCUCUGGAACAUGUACAAACCUCAGCUUGCAGCUUGGUGGAAAGCUGCUGGCUUUGGAGUUCUCUCUUUUGACCUGGAAAUGUCCUUGCUCUGCUGCUCUGGAGACUCCUGUGCAGGCUGGGGAAGCCUCUGAGUUCUGCUGUCUGUGCUCAGCUUCUGUAAGUGCUGCAGGACUGGCAGUGCAGAGCAGGGGGCUGAUCUGGGACCUCACUCCAAGAUUUCCUCCCCAGUACCCCAUGCAGUGUCAUCAUUUACAGCUCUCCAGCCUGACCAGGACAUAAACCUGCUUCUGUGGAGGAGAUUUGGAGAGUUCCAGUUCAUGGUGAUGUUUAAGAAGUAAAGCUGAACUCAGCCAAAACACAGAAGAAUUGAAGAGGCCCAGUCAUCAGAGGGGAAGAAAAUAGCCUGACAAGUCUACAGAGUAAGGUUGUAGAGAUGUGUCACUUCAUUUUAAUUAAACACCCAUGCAUUCUCACCCACUCGUGUUCUGCUGCUUUGCUGGUGAGUAGAAGGAUUUCCUCAGUGCUACUGUUCACUUUUUGUUCAUUCAUAUUUGAGCUUGCAAAGUGUUUGAAAGCAAUUUAACUUUUCACAUAGAAAUGUCACACAGGUGAAGGCUUUUCUGUGCUAGGGAAAAUGGGAACAGCAUUUACAUUGCAGUGUUGAUUUUGAAGUCCUAGAGCAUGGAAUUCUCCAGAACUGUCCAUUGCCAGUGUGUGGAGCAGCUCUUCCACCUGUUUACCUUCUCAUUUUCCACAUGGUUUUGUUUCUAGCCAGACAUUUUGUCGCCUCACAUGUAUUUCCUGAGGAGCUGAGUGUCUCUGCCAUCAGCUGGCAGUGUGUGUUUGUGUCUCACACCCUUGGGGCUGUGCUGGUGGCUCUGGGGCUGCUCAGGGACAUUGCCCUGCUCACAAUUAGUGAGCCCAGGCAGGGCUGGGCACACACAGCCCCCAGUGCAGCCUCGCUCACGAGUCAUUUACAAUAUUAGGUGGACAAACAUGUCAUGAUGAAGUCCUUGGGAGCCUGUAAGGAGCUGUUUUUUCACAGCCAUUCCUGGUGUGUUGAGAUUAAAUGUCCUGUCACACUGGCUGUGUGUACACUGCCAGGCAGGCCCUGACCUCUCCAGUGGCUGCAAUUAGAAACAAUUUUCAGAUUUAUAUGAUGAGUUUUAUUUCACAGUGUGCAUGUACAGUCCACCCAGAGAAGAAGUUUUUGGGUUUUUUUCCCAAAUUGAACUUGUUCUCUCAAAUGUAACUACAUCUCCAGCUGUCUGCAGAAUACCCUGCACUGUCUGGGAGAACUGUAAAAGAACUGCAAGCUUAUAAAUUCACCUUUUUGCAGUUAUUAAAUGUGCUUGAGUCAUUCCAGGCUGUUGCUGUGGAGAUGGGUACAAUGUAGGAGCCCUGGCACUAUGACAGGCCAUUAAAAUCCCAAGAUGUUUAGCCAUGUCUGAGUAUUUUCACACAGUGAGACCUCUAAGCUUAGCCUGCUGCUGACAUUGUUAGUUACUGAAUCAAUUGCACGAGAUGAGGCUGACAGGUGUAAUUAUGUAUUUCUCUGGUGAUUAUGUAUGGCCUGUCAUAGAGACCAACAUGCCUGUAACUGUGCACUCAUUCAGGAGCCAUUUAUUGAGUGAAGUAUUGGACUUGGCACGCCGUUUACAAGGGGAGGAAAUGUAAAACAAAACAGAAGUUCAUUUUGAAAUAUAAUUGAUUCAUUAAACCAUUUGCCAGUGCUUCAUCUUAGUGCAUGGAAAUACAUCUUUCUGUAUUUCCUACAGAUGUCUCAGUUAUUUAAGGAUAUUCUUGCACCCUGACUUUAACAAAAGAAUAAAACUCAUGUGAUGAAUUCAUGAGAAGCUGGGUCUCAGUCUUGAGCUGCCACGUCCUGGGAGAAGUUGUGGAGCUUGCUGGGACCAUCUGAAUGUGUGACCAUUUGAAAAUAUUUGGCUGACUUGUCAAAAGAGCUCAAAAUCUUUCCAAAUAACUUCCUUUCUCUGCAAACACAUCUGUGCAAUCUUCUUUGUAGUAGCUGUUCUUCAAAACAUGUUAAAAAUUAUACAAAUAUUUUUGGAAUUCACUGAAGUGGACUUGGGUUGUUGCUGGAAUUCCUCAUUCUCUUUUCCAGAUACAUUUUUUCUGUGUAGUGAUGUCACUCAAGGCUGCUGUAUUUUUAUCCAUGUAUUAUUAUCCCUGAUGAUAUGAAUGAAAAGUCUCUGUUUCUCAAAGUGACAGGAGGCAGAGAGAAGUUAAAUAUUCCUCUCAGUUUAUUAAGAGCUCCUUGGACUUGGUUGAAGUCAAGCAAACAAUUUGACUUAUUUUCCUUAUCUGCAUCUCUCUCUGCAAUACAACUGUUACCUCAUCCACAGAAGUUUGGAUGUGGAAGAGAGUGGGGUUAUUUGGUGGUGGUUUUCUUUACUUUUUGGGCUUGUUUGUUUGUUUGUAGUAAAAGACUAGCUGCUUUUAGUGACUCCUUUAACAAAAAGAACCCACUGUCUUUUGCAGAAAAACAGGAUCCAUGUUUUCUUUGGUCUUCCAGAAUGGGCUGAAAAAUGUAAUAGGAGUUUGUGGAUAUAAAUAAUAAAAAAACCAUUUUCCUCUCAUUUUAUAAGAUACAAAGAGAGCCUUUUACAUAAAACUUUCCGUUGUGUUCUUAAUUAACCAUCAUAUUUUUUAUCUUUGUUUUUAACCAAAAUCUGUUUCUCACAGCUUUUGUGAUGGAUAUGAGAUGAUAUCUAUGAGAAAGAGAGAAAGAGUAGAGAUGGUGGGGAUUUAGCCAAAAGAUGAAUAUUUAGAAGACUGUCCUUUGGAAUCCAUAAUUAAACUAUGUUCAAAUGCCAAAAAGCAGAUGCAAACCUAAAGUUUCAUCCCAAAGUUUGGAAGAACCAUUUUUCCCCAGUCUCAUCUGCUUAGAACACAUUGGUUAGAAUUGUCCCAGUAGGAAGCACCUGGGUUAAUAUCUGGCUUUCUAAUCAUGUGCUUGGAAAGUCAACUUUUGCUUUUCCAGAAAACUUCCCAAGUGUGCAGUAAAAGACAUGCUGUUCCAAAAAAAAUAUCCUGAAUAAAGUGAUGUCUGCUGAAUUGAAUUUUGGUUUUUCUAUCACUGAGCUAGACUUUGAGGGCUUUUUAAUUUUUUAUUUUCUUGUAACGAAGUUUCAUUGAAGUAGGAGAAUAUUUGAUGUUGGAAGAGGUCUCUGGAGAUCAUCUCAUCCAACCUCCCUGCUCAAAGGAAGGUGAAUUGGAGCAGGUUGGCCAGGACCAUGUCCAGUUGGGUUUGGAAUAUCUCCAAGGAGAGUUCACUUUUUUAGGUGUUGUGUUCCAGUGAUCAGUCACUCUUACAUGAAAGUUUCUUAGCUCUAAAUGAUACUUGCUGUAUUUUGGACAUUGCUGUAUUUGAAAGACACUGCCUUUCUCUCACUAGACACCAGGAGAAGAGUCUGGCUCUGUCCUUUCCUCCUCCCAUCCAUUUAUAAAAUGGCCUUGACCACGUGGCUCUGACUGCUCCCAUAACUCCCAUUGCUGAUUUUCUAACAUGAUGCAGCCAUAGAUUGGAUCUUUCUUUUCUUUUAAUGUAUUUCUUCAUCAUCUAAAGACUGAACUUUUGAAUACCACUUCUCAUUUGCACGCUGGAUUUGAGGCAAGAGAGCAAGUUUGCUUAUUUAAUAUUUCCUUUGAUUUGGUGAUUAGUGUUUGCUCUUAAUUAUUUUUUACAAUUUCCACAAGUGAUCAGGAAAAGAACAGCUGUCUCACACUUUCAACAAGUUAAAAACAGCCUGUUUAUUAGUCUUUC